This 371-nucleotide ribosomal RNA is filed under the name uncultured bacterium. RNAcentral's name for it is "bacterial SSU rRNA". It matches the Rfam family "Bacterial small subunit ribosomal RNA", at positions 527 to 896 of the family's 1533-position model. The record is from RNAcentral.
GAAGGGUGCAAGCGUUACUCGGAAUUACUGGGCGUAAAGCGUGCGUAGGUGGUGAGUUAAGUCUGUCGUGAAAGCCCCGGGCUCAACCUGGGAAUGGCGAUGGAUACUGGCUCGCUAGAGUGCGGUAGAGGAGAGUGGAAUUCCCGGUGUAGCAGUGAAAUGCGUAGAGAUCGGGAGGAACAUCAGUUGCGAAGGCGGCUCUCUGGACCAGCACUGACACUGAGGCACGAAAGCGUGGGGAGCAAACAGGAUUAGAUACCCUGGUAGUCCACGCCCUAAACGAUGCGAACUGGACGUUGGGGGCAAUCAGGCUCUCAGUGUCGAAGCUAACGCGUUAAGUUCGCCGCCUGGGGAGUACGGUCGCAAGACUG